AUGGACGGCGACGACUUCACGGGCAAGCUGGGCCGAGGCAGCUGCGUGGCCCACGCGACAAACGAACGGGUGAACCUCUCGGUCGUCCUGCUCCCAACGGCAGGCGGGUCAGGAGGCGGCGGAUCCGGCUGCUCUGGCGUGGAUCCGGUGGCGGCAGACGAAUUUGAGGCGGAGAAGAACGAGUCCGACGGAGAGGUGGUAGGAGGCGGCGAGCUCCAAGGCAGGGUGGCUGCGUCGAAGAAGGAUUGGCCGGUACUGCCGGCUGGCGUCAAGUUCGAUCCCACGGAUCAGGAGCUGAUUGAGCACCUUGAGGCCAAAGUGAGUGCUGAUAGCGCGAGAUUUCAGUCUCUCAUUGAUUUGUUCAUACCAACCAUCGACAGCGAGCACGACAUAUGCUACACCCAACCUGAGAAACUUCCAGGUAUCACACUGAGUGGCCUAAGAAAGCAUUUCUUCCAGCGCAAUUCCAGGGCGUUCAAAAGGGGCAUGUGGACGUGUCGCAAGAUACAGUCGGAGUGCAGCAUGCACGCGAUGUGGCACAAGACCGGCAAUACCUUGCCAGUGAUGGUCAACGGCCGGCAGACGGGCAGCAAAAAAGGUUUUGGUGCUGCACACCAACAAGAACUUCGACCAGUAGAGGACCAACUGGGUGAUGCACCAGUACCACCUCGGGCACUUGGAGCAAGAGAAGGAGCGGGAGCUGGUCGAGCAAGUUUCAACUGGGCUGUAGACUGCCCAGGGUUGGUUUUGUUUUUAACAGGCCCAGCCCAUGACGACAACGGGGCACAAAGAUCCAGCAGUCUGAAAUUUUGGUCUUUACUGUCAAGUCUGAAGUUAGUGGUAACUACUGAAGUUGGUGUUCAUGUCAAGUUAGUGGUAACUAAUGAAGUUACAGUUGCUUGUCUUUCACACAAGAAGCUGGUCUACUCCCAGAUAAUGCUAAACUGGAACCAGAUUGUUGCUUCUUUGAUUUAUGUGCUGCUUGAAGCUGAGUUCUGUUCUCCCAAAGACCUCUCUGAUGAUGGAAGUCGCAUAUCAUCCCUGGUUUUCUCUCCAUUGAUAGUAGCAGCAGAUUUUGUCGACCUGAAAUUAAAUGAUGCAAUACUUGACCUGAUGUGCUGCAUGUAUAUCUCCGGUGCUGGCUUGCAUUAUGAUAAUCCUCCUGGGAAGAUAAUCUACUUCUCCCAGUACUAA
RNAcentral lists this ribosomal RNA (1194 nucleotides) under Triticum aestivum (bread wheat). RNAcentral's name for it is "partial small subunit ribosomal RNA". Lineage: Eukaryota; Viridiplantae; Streptophyta; Magnoliopsida; Poales; Poaceae. The record is from RNAcentral.